AAUUCUCUCGACCCUGGUAUUUGUCCAGGUUCGGAUGUGGAUGUUGUUGGUUUUACUGACUCAUCUUGAAAUUCAUUAGCUGAUCUCUUGGUCUAGCGGACGGUGUGAUAAGUGAAUACUUACGCCGUGUCUCUAAUACCUAAUAGGUCGCUUCUAAUAAAACCCCCCUUUGGGGGUACUUCAUUAUAUUA
RNAcentral lists this unclassified non-coding RNA (191 nucleotides) under uncultured Basidiomycota. RNAcentral's name for it is "sequence contains ITS2". The record is from RNAcentral. Lineage: Eukaryota; Fungi; Basidiomycota.